AAUUCGUGUUUGCGGGCACUUUCUCAGGAGCUCCUUGAACCUUUCCCACAUCUCAAAUAGACACUCCAAUUCUAAUUGUACAAAGGAUGAAAUCUGAUUCCUAAGCUU
This is a small nucleolar RNA of Dioscorea cayenensis subsp. rotundata (Guinea yam), 108 nucleotides long. Lineage: Eukaryota; Viridiplantae; Streptophyta; Magnoliopsida; Dioscoreales; Dioscoreaceae. The record is from RefSeq and is a predicted model, not a curated record.